This is a long non-coding RNA of Mauremys reevesii (Reeves's turtle), 428 nucleotides long. RefSeq lists it as uncharacterized. NCBI's taxonomy places the organism in Eukaryota, Metazoa, Chordata, Testudines, Geoemydidae. The record is from RefSeq and is a predicted model, not a curated record. The transcript is spliced from 3 exons.
AGGGCCGCGGCCGUGACAGACAAGCAAACGACGCCUUGCUGCUGCUAUUGCAAUUCCUGAGUCUUGCGGGCCUGAUACAGACCCCCCUCGGGGAGGGGACCUGACCCGCAGGCCCAGAGCUGCCACUGGCCACAUAGGGCACAUUAGCUCCUCUCUCCCCCAUCACACCGACAGUAGAUAAAACUCUGGAGAUCUGGAAUAAAACAAACUACUGCUCCUCUCAGAAGGAACAUGCAGCCAGGUCGCAAUUAAAUAUACAGAUACACGAGCUGUUAGCAAGAUUUCACCCUCGCAUCCGAAUCAGAAAGCAGCAAAGUUGGCGGGGAUGAUUCCCAUGUCACUUAUUAUUUAUACUUAAAAUGUCUUAAAACUCGCCGGCAGAGCGGUGUGUUUGUUAUUCAGACACUUUCUUUUGUUAGUGUCCCUUU